RNAcentral lists this transfer RNA (65 nucleotides) under Dyscolus montivagus. RNAcentral's name for it is "tRNA-Asn". Lineage: Eukaryota; Metazoa; Arthropoda; Insecta; Coleoptera; Carabidae. The record is from RNAcentral.
UUAAUUGAAGCCAAAUAGAGGCAUAUCACUGUUAAUGAUAUUAUUGAAUUUUUAUUCCAAUUAAA